This 374-nucleotide ribosomal RNA is filed under the name uncultured organism. RNAcentral's name for it is "partial 16S ribosomal RNA". It matches the Rfam family "Bacterial small subunit ribosomal RNA", at positions 527 to 896 of the family's 1533-position model. The record is from RNAcentral.
GUAGGUGGCAAGCGUUGUCCGGAAUUAUUGGGCGUAAAGCGCGCGCAGGCGGUUCUUUAAGUCUGAUGUGAAAGCCCACGGCUCAACCGUGGAGGGUCAUUGGAAACUGGAGAACUUGAGUACAGAAGAGGAAAGCGGAAUUCCACGUGUAGCGGUGAAAUGCGUAGAGAUGUGGAGGAACACCAGUGGCGAAGGCGGCUUUCUGGUCUGUAACUGACGCUGAGGCGCGAAAGCGUGGGGAGCAAACAGGAUUAGAUACCCUGGUAGUCCACGCCGUAAACGAUGAGUGCUAAGUGUUAGGGGGGUUCCCCGCCCCCCUUAGUGCUGCAGCUAACGCAUUAAGCACUCCGCCUGGGAGUACGGCCGCAAGGCUG